RNAcentral lists this ribosomal RNA (395 nucleotides) under uncultured bacterium. RNAcentral's name for it is "partial 16S ribosomal RNA". It matches the Rfam family "Bacterial small subunit ribosomal RNA", at positions 359 to 773 of the family's 1533-position model. The record is from RNAcentral.
UAUAUUGCACAUUUGAGGAAACUCUGAUGCAGCGACGCCGCGUGAGUGAAGAAGGUCUUCGGAUCGUCUAACUCUGUCCUUGGUGAAGAUCAUGACGGCAGCCAAGGAGGAAGCCCCGGCUAACUACGUGCCAGCAGCCGCGGUAAUUCGUAGGGGGCUAGCGUUAUCCGGAUUUACUGGGCGUAAAGGGUGAGUAGGCGGUUGCAUAAGUAAGGUGUAAAAGGCUAAGGCUUAACCAUAGUAUGCAUUUGAAACUGUGUGACUUGAGUACCGGAGGGGUAAACGGAAUUCCUAGUGUAACGGUGAAAUGCGUAGAUAUUUGGAGGAACACCAGUGGCGAAGGCGGCUUACUGGACUGUAACUGACGCUGAGUCACGAAAGCGUGGGUAGCAAAC